CAGUCGCCGCGGGAAUACGAAGGGUGCAAGCGUUACUCGGAAUUACUGGGCGUAAAGCGUGUGUAGGUGGUUGUUUAAGUCUGUCGUGAAAGCCCUGGGCUCAACCUGGGAAUUGCGAUGGAUACUGGGCGACUAGAGUGCGGUAGAGGAUAGUGGAACUUCCGGUGUAGCAGUGAAAUGCGUAGAGAUCGGAAGGAACAUCUGUGGCGAAGGCGACUAUCUGGGCCAACACUGACACUGAGACACGAAAGCGUGGGGAGCAAACAGGAUUAGAUACCCCUGUAGUCCCUGUCUCUUAUAC
Molecule: ribosomal RNA, 301 nt
Filed under: uncultured bacterium
Lineage: Bacteria
Description: partial 16S ribosomal RNA
Rfam family: Bacterial small subunit ribosomal RNA
Source: RNAcentral